Suricata suricatta (meerkat) is the source of this 1887-nucleotide long non-coding RNA. RefSeq lists it as uncharacterized. The record is from RefSeq and is a predicted model, not a curated record. NCBI's taxonomy places the organism in Eukaryota, Metazoa, Chordata, Mammalia, Carnivora, Herpestidae. The transcript is spliced from 4 exons.
UCAUGGAGGCACUGGCGGAGGCGGCUUGGCGCGGGUGUCCCCCGGGGAGGUCCCGGUCCUCGCAGCCCGCGGUCGCGUCCUUGGCCCUCCUCCAGGGGAACCUCGAUUUUCCAAUCUCAGGAAGGCCGGCUGUCCUUCGGCUACUGAUAAGGACGCGAGCUCAUGGUAAAGAUUUUAACAAUGCCCGGAAAGAAAUAGCCGGACCCAAGAAAGAGACUAAUAAUAGCAGCCCGCUAGAGUUCUGCUCUUGUGCUCAGCGCUCUUAAGAACAAUAAUAACGACAACAACCAUAAGAGCCACCAUUUAUUGAGCGCUUACUCUGUGCCAGGCACUGUGUUAAGCGCUUUGCAGGCAACAACCCUCGGAGUAGGCUCCAUGCGAAUGUGGGGCUUGAACUCACAACCUUGAUAUCAAGAGGCACAUGCUCUAUGGACUGAGCCAGCCGGGCACCCCAGGAGCACCUAAUUAUAAAGCCAUGUUCCCAUCAACCGAUACACCUGAACAUAAGAGUGUCCUCGUCUGCACUGUGGGGAAAACACAGUCCCCUUUUCCAGGGUUGUGGCGCCAAUGAAAUAACACCCAGGGCAGUGCCCGGCGCAGGACCACAGGUCAGUAACUGGGAGCAACACUCAUCAUCGUUCAUAAAGGCCUGGGCGGCACUAGAAGAUUCGGUGACCCAUCCGUGAGGAUCUUUGCAGAGCAGGAGCAGAAGAAAUGAGGUCUCGCCCAGUGUGGGGCAGUAAAGUCAGGCAGCAGCAGGAUUUGGGCAGUGCAUCAAGGGGCCACCUGCUGUUCUCCCGCCCAGAGGACUGGCACCUAUUUCUCCAGCACCUCCGACUCAUCACAAUUCUUCCUCCGGCUGGUCCUGAGACAUGAUGGCUGACAAGGUCUUGAGCAAGGGCAUACUCAAUGCUUAAGAAGGGGAUGGAAGUUUGGGGCCUCCCCUGCAUUCCAGCGUGAAGACCAGAUCCUUAAACAGGGCUGGGGGCGGGAGAGGCGAAGGGCCACACAAGCAUGAGAUGCUGCCCUUGGGUGUUUGGUGGAUGCCAGGCUCUGUGCAAGACACAUGGACGCUAACUGUGCACGAUGGGGCUUACUCCUCGGCCAUUAGGAGAGGUUUGUGUCUGUUAUCGUCAUCAAAAAAACAUUCCCAUUUGAUAAAGGCCUCAGAGAGUUGAGAAAACUGCCUAAAGUCUCACAGCCAAAAUGUGGCAGAGCCAGAAUUUCGACCAACUUUAUCUGAUAAAAGCCUCCAGCCUCCCCCAGGAUGCUUUAAUGUGUGUCUUACGGCUUAUGGCUCUGGCAUCAAGAGGGCACUGGUCCUGGCAUUUAUUUGAGUCAAGGAAAGGGAUUGCUUGCAGAGCCCAUCCCUGACCCAGGCCUCCAGGCCUGUCCCACACAGUGGAGACAAGGGGCGAGCCUGAAAAGGAGGCUGCCUCUGUUGAGGAACUGAUGUCCAGAGGUAAGCAGCCCAGGCUGGUAGAGCAGCCCUGUGACGUCAGGGACCUGGGCCCCUUCCACCUGGGGCUCUCCAUCCUCAGUGCACGGCCCAGUGGCCCAAGGCAGCCCUUGCAGGAAGAAGCAGGAGAAAAGAGGGCUCAUUCCCCUCCCAGGAUGCUUCAGGGAACUCACAUGCAUCACACCUACUCGUAUGCCACUAGCCGGAGCUAAACCCCACAGAACCCCAGGAAAUAGUAGGGGUGAUUUAUCUAAGUAAGACUCUUAUUGCUAUAGAUAAAGGGGAGAACAGAUAUUGGAGGUGGAGAUCUGCCACCUUUUACAAACAUCUUUCCAAUGCAUGUAGAUUUGUAUCCCAUUUUUUUCUCUUAUUUUUUGGCGAGUGUUUGACCACAUCAUUAAAUAUUUGUCAAAAUUCUUAAUUUUUAA